UACGGAGGGUGCAAGCGUUAAUCGGAAUUACUGGGCGUAAAGCGCGCGUAGGCGGUUAGGUCAGUUGUGUGUGAAAGCCCCGGGCUUAACCUGGGAACUGCAUGCAAUACUGCCUAGCUAGAGUACAGUAGAGGGGAGUAGAAUUCACAGUGUAGCGGUGAAAUGCGUAGAUAUUGUGAGGAAUACCAGUGGCGAAGGCGGCUCCCUGGACUGAUACUGACGCUGAGGUGCGAAAGCGUGGGUAGCGAACAGG
Molecule: ribosomal RNA, 253 nt
Filed under: uncultured bacterium
Lineage: Bacteria
Description: partial 16S ribosomal RNA
Rfam family: Bacterial small subunit ribosomal RNA
Source: RNAcentral